RNAcentral lists this ribosomal RNA (604 nucleotides) under uncultured bacterium. Its description in RNAcentral is "bacterial SSU rRNA". The stretch from base 1 to 531 matches the Rfam family "Bacterial small subunit ribosomal RNA", at positions 338 to 873 of the family's 1533-position model. The record is from RNAcentral.
CCUACGGGAGGCAGCAGUAAGGAAUAUUGGUCAAUGGACGAAAGUCUGAACCAGCCAUGCCGCGUGAAGGAUGAAGGUCCUCUGGAUUGUAAACUUCUUUUAUCUGGGACGAAAAAAGGGCUUUCUAGCUCACUUGACGGUACCAGAGGAAUAAGCACCGGCUAACUCCGUGCCAGCAGCCGCGGUAAUACGGAGGGUGCAAGCGUUAUCCGGAUUUACUGGGUUUAAAGGGAGCGUAGGUGGGCAGGUAAGUCAGUGGUGAAAUCUCUGGGCUUAACCCGGAAACUGCCAUUGAUACUAUCUGUCUUGAAUAUCCUGGAGGUAAGCGGAAUAUGUCAUGUAGCGGUGAAAUGCUUAGAUAUGACAUAGAACACCCAUUGCGAAGGCAGCUUACUACGGGAUUAUUGACACUGAGGCUCGAAAGCGUGGGGAUCAAACAGGAUUAGAUACCCUGGUAGUCCACGCCCUAAACGAUGGAUACUCGACAUCAGCGAUACACUGUUGGUGUCUGNGNGAGANAUAUAUACCACCAGAGACGACGACGAGUAGUACGUACAANAGAGUAGACGCGNGAGAGAGACGACGACGACGACGAGGGAGGAGG